Molecule: small nuclear RNA, 105 nt
Organism: Trichechus manatus latirostris (Florida manatee)
Lineage: Eukaryota; Metazoa; Chordata; Mammalia; Sirenia; Trichechidae
Source: RefSeq, a predicted model, not a curated record
GUGCUCCCUUCGGCAGCACUUAUACCAAAAUUGGAAUCAGACAGAGAAGCUUAGCAUGGCUGGGGCAAGGAUGACAUGCAAAUUCUGGAAGUGUUCCAUUUUUUU